Nilaparvata lugens (brown planthopper) is the source of this 1973-nucleotide long non-coding RNA. RefSeq lists it as uncharacterized. NCBI's taxonomy places the organism in Eukaryota, Metazoa, Arthropoda, Insecta, Hemiptera, Delphacidae. The record is from RefSeq and is a predicted model, not a curated record. The transcript is spliced from 2 exons.
CUAUUAUUAAUGAUUACCUAAACUAUAUUUUUUUUGUUAAUUCAAUCAUUUUUUAUUUUUUUUGGAUUUUAUAUAGGCUUUUUUUGAAUAUAUAUCCAAACUAACUAUUAUACCUAUCCUAACCUAAACUAACCUAACAUUCCAUUUUUUAUGUAGGCCUACAUUAACUAUUUUUCUUAAUUACAUUUUUUUGUUAUUUUUCAAGGAUGUGGAGGACGAUGAGGAAGAGACGGCCGGGGAUUGAGACCUAGAGGCUGUAGAAGAGGCUGUCGAGGAGGCUGUUGAAGAGGCUGUUGAGGAGGCUGUCGAAAAGGCUGUCGAAGAGGCGAGUGGAGAGGCUUUCUGAAGGAGGCUGAGGUUCUAAAUGAGCUGGAGCAAUUUGGUGGUUAACUCAUUAUUCAUUGAACAGCAGUAAUUAGAGCAUUGCGGAGAAAAUCUUCCUAGUUGAAUUACGUUCUUUGAGCAACCUGGAAGGUAAAACUAGUACUUGUCUAUAAAUCAGCUUGUUUUUUGGAAAAGUAGGGAGUUUGAAGUUCUAGACUUAUCUGAAUUUCGUAAUCAUUCAUUGUAUGUUGGUUGGAACAAAAAGGGUUCAUUGUCGAUUUUGGUCAACAGCUGAGAGAGUUUACCUCGACCACAUAGUAGACCCUCUUUACCACUCAGCAAACUACAACAAAACCUCCCAACAACACCAUACAGCUUGAGCCAACAACUUACAACAGGUGAUCACUGGGGGGGGGGCGAAUAAGCAAACAGUGUGAUUAAAAUUAUUUGGGGGAGGGGUCAAAACAAUUAUUGGUGGUGAAUAAAAACAUCUUGGUUGAGGGGGGAUUUGUAUACUGUAUUUGAGGUAUUCUGGGGAUUGGACAAAUACUUUGAAAUGCAAAUACCUUGACUGGCCCACACAGGUGGCCUCUGCCUCAAGGCGGCCUCGGGCGCCUCAAGGCCGCCUUCAGGCCUCAGACUCACAAAGUGUGUGGAACCGAUACUUACAUCACAUUCAACAGUUUCUCAUCACAAUGAUACCUCUACCACAACUGGUCGACAAAGAAAAUUUCCCCAAACCCUAUCAUCCAAAAACCUUGGAGCAUUCAAUCCUCCAUAUUCAUGAUAAUGCAGCAACAUCUGAACGUCCAAACUGUAGAAAUUCCUCUCAGAGAACAACAAAAGCAAGUCAAGAAUGAACCAAUUUGUUCCACCCAACAUACAAAAGUUACUCUACCAUAAAAAAUCCAGUUCAAUCUGUUUAAAAGCAAUGUAUUUGUCUGGUACAAUGACUGUACCAGAAAUUCAUCUGAACCUCCCUCAAAUUUAUGAAAUAUCCUCUGCUUUGGCCAUCAAAAGAUCAACUGAUUUUUUGAAAAAUAUAUUUUGGCCUAUCAGACUUAUCAGUCAACUAGGCUGAAAUAAGGAAACCUGUCCAGGAAAUGCUCAAUAGUAAUUCAACUAUUCUUGGAUGAAAGAAGUUUUGGUUCCUGAAUCAUGCAUGGUUGGUUAUAUGAUUACUGUUUACUGUAAAAGACUGAAAAUAUUCCUAAUAAUUGAACCCUACAGAUCUGUUUUUCUUUUUGGAGGACUUUGUAUUAAUUAAACUAUUCAAAAUGACAAAUUCAGUUGAACUAGAUAGUAAAUAGAAAUUGUGGGCUCUCUGAACAAUCUUGACAAAUAUGAAGCUAUGAAACUUAUUUACUGUGAAAAAAAAAAAUUUCCCCAAAUAGUCGAAUAAUUUAAACAGUUUUAGGAUAAUAUGGUAAAAUGAUAUUGAGAGGGUAUUAAGGUCAAGUCAAGGUCGAGUCGUGGCCAAGUCAGAGUCAGUCAGUGGUCAAGGUGGAAGUCAAGAUUGAACCAGAGCCUCAAUUUUCUACUUGAAACAUUGCAAUUAUCUGUCUUGGAGUUUGCAGACUUGAAACUGCAAUUAUCUGAAGGUAGAGUGCUUUCAUUAUUCUAUUGAUUUAUGGGAUUGGCCAAUGCUA